AUUGAACGCUGGCGGCAGGCUUAACACAUGCAAGUCGAGCGGGGAGAUGUAGCUUGCUACAUUUCCUAGCGGCGGACGGGUGAGUAAUGCUUAGGAAUCUGCCUAUUAGUGGGGGACAACAUUCCGAAAGGAAUGCUAAUACCGCAUACGCCCUACGGGGGAAAGCAGGGGAUCUUCGGACCUUGCGCUAAUAGAUGAGCCUAAGUCAGAUUAGCUAGUUGGUGGGGUAAAGGCCUACCAAGGCGACGAUCUGUAGCGGGUCUGAGAGGAUGAUCCGCCACACUGGGACUGAGACACGGCCCAGACUCCUACGGGAGGCAGCAGUGGGGAAUAUUGGACAAUGGGCGAAAGCCUGAUCCAGCCAUGCCGCGUGUGUGAAGAAGGCCUUUUGGUUGUAAAGCACUUUAAGCGAGGAGGAGGCUACUUAGAUUAAUACCCUAGGAUAGUGGACGUUACUCGCAGAAUAAGCACCGGCUAACUCUGUGCCAGCAGCCGCGGUAAUACAGAGGGUGCGAGCGUUAAUCGGAUUUACUGGGCGUAAAGCGUGCGUAGGCGGCUUUUUAAGUCGGAUGUGAAAUCCCUGAGCUUAACUUAGGAAU
Molecule: ribosomal RNA, 599 nt
Filed under: uncultured bacterium
Lineage: Bacteria
Description: bacterial SSU rRNA
Rfam family: Bacterial small subunit ribosomal RNA
Source: RNAcentral